RNAcentral lists this long non-coding RNA (221 nucleotides) under Capsella rubella. Its description in RNAcentral is "long non-coding RNA (CRUB_LNC001642)". The record is from RNAcentral. Lineage: Eukaryota; Viridiplantae; Streptophyta; Magnoliopsida; Brassicales; Brassicaceae.
CUAGUCAUAUCACCAAAAGGUUUAAAGGAAGCCUCACUACGCUUAGGACCACCCAAUUUUUCUCCAUUAUGUAGAAUCUCAUUGAAGUCUCCAAUCAUACACCAACUAUCCUUCCUUGUCAUGCCUAUACACAUUAAUCUUUCCCAAACUAAAUGCCUAGAUAUAAACAUUGGAUCACCAUACACACAAGAAACAAAAAAAAAAGUCAAAAGAACCAAACG